This is a long non-coding RNA of Ctenopharyngodon idella (grass carp), 10400 nucleotides long. RefSeq lists it as uncharacterized. The record is from RefSeq and is a predicted model, not a curated record. The transcript has 2 exons. NCBI's taxonomy places the organism in Eukaryota, Metazoa, Chordata, Actinopteri, Cypriniformes, Xenocyprididae.
CACAGCAACACCAGCAUAGUUACACACACAAACACACACAUGCACUUCCAUUGCUCUUUAUCACAAGUUGCAGUAACCUGGAGAAACUCGGGGGUUUGGUCGCAGCUAACAGGGGACAUUCUCAGCACUUUGGCUAACAUUUUGGCAAGGUUCUCGCAAAGUUAUGAACAAACUGCACCUUUAACCAUCUAAAUUCAAAAUACUGUUGAGUUAACUAUUUGUAACUGUUUAGCAACAUUUAGAGGCCAUUUACACAACACUGUUUUCAAUGUUUUGGACAUUAAUUUACACGACAACGCGUUUUAGAGGCCUGAAAAUGCAAACUUUUGAAAACGGGUUUCAAAGUGCACGUUUUUGAAAACGAUACAGUCAUCAUCUCUGUGUAAACUACAAAAGCACACAUUUGUGAAAACGAUGAUGUCAUGCUACUCAGUCUAUAGGUGCAUAGUGUUUCUAUAAAAAGUGACAUCGCCAACUACUGGCCUGGCAUACAUAAUACAGCGUUUUUAGUCAUUUUUGUAGAUCCAUAUGAACGGGGAUAGUUUUGACAAUGUUGUCGUCUGCACAUGAAAAACAGAAAGGAAAACUUUUCCAUUUUUUAUGCAUCAUUGCCAGGUAAACACACCCUUAGUCAUUAAAAUAUGCCAGAAUGGGUAACUGGGUUGGCAAAGGGUUCAGACAUCUUUCAAACUGCAAUAUAUUAUUUCAAUAAACAUAUACAAAAAUUAGAUACAAUGACAUCUUGUCAUCUCUCGAACAUUGAAAGUAAACUUAACAGUGCAAAAGUGUUAAAUCACUUUCAGCAGACCAUAAAUAAAGUACGUAUCAACGUACGCAACCACUCAACCCAGAUGUGAUGUAUUCUAAUCAAAACUUUAAGCAUGAGGUGAGAAUUACCAAUAUUUACCAAUAAAACUAUAAUCUUCAAGCAAUAUAUCUAAAAAAAAUAGAUGGUUAUGAAUAAUUAUACCCGAAAUAAUUAUUUAUGACAUAAUUAUUUAUGUUGAUUAGCCUGAGAAAACCUGCAAAGCUUUUACUUUCAUCAUAUUGUUGGUCAUUUGUUUUGAGUGGAUAUAUUCAUACAUUCUUUAUUCACUUAUUUUACCAUGGUGAAUAAGCGGAGGGUAACGGCUGCUUCACGACCUGUUUAAAAGGAAUCCUGAUAAAUAAAGUCACCCAUAAAGAUACCAAAACAAAAGUGUGUGUGUGUGUGUGUGUGUGUGUGUGUGUGUGUGUGUGUGUGUGUGUCAACCUACAGCAAACACAAGCAAUCUAAAACAAACAAGAACUCAACAAGCCUCUAGGGGACAUUACCAACACACGCACACAAACACGCUGUGAUUACCACUGAACUACCUAAACAUCUCCUGGGAUUCGUUUUCUAUACAAAACCACAUUAAUGCAAAAAUAUAUUGUUUCACUAUUGCAACUGCCUCAGCUGCAUCAUUUUACAAUACUUUUGGAUAAUUUGUGUAAAAUGUCAUUAAAAAUGCAAUGAUUUACUGUAGAUUUACAUUAGAAUAGAGCAAAUGAGCCACUGUGAUGUAGCUGCUGUAUCACUGUUUAGUUCCAGCUUGCAUGUUGACAGAUCCUGGGACAUUUUCUCUUGUUUCCAGAAAACAGUGAAGGAUUUGAAUGAAUGUGUGAUAGACAACGGAAUAAUAUCCCUGUCUAAAUAGUGACUAAAGACUGAUUAUGACACUUCAUCGCCUCAGAGGGAGGCAUCUGCUGUAAUGGAGGAUUUCCUGCAGCUCAUAAAGAGCUUGAAAUGCUCCUCAUUGUCUCUGAAAUCAUUAUAACACUCUUUCAGAGUGCUGUGAUUCAGUGAAGAUUUAAAGAUGUCCUUAAUUUAUGCCAACCAAGUGCCAAGGUCUUGGUUUUGAAAUUUGUACAUCUCAAGGUUUAAUUCAUAAUUUAACAUCCCAGUAAAAGGAAACAAUCUCAGUAGAAGAGGGCGCUUAAUUGUCUUGAAAAUGUCACGAUGCAAAAAAAAAAAAAAAAAAAAAAAACAUGUUAUUCAUUUUCUUUAUGCAAAAUACAAUUUGUAAUUUCUGUCUUUUGAUUUUGGGGGGAAAUAUGACCUGGACAUGUUCUUGGCAGGUUUCAUGUCCAAAAUUUCCUGAUGUUUCCUAUGUUAUCCAUUUAAAACAUUUCCAGUAAUCUUCCCUUGUGCAUUAACACAAAUUUUCAUAUCUUUCUGCAAACAUUCUAAUCCAUAUCCUCUUGUGACCUUCACAGGCUGCAAGCUUCAUAACGCAGUGGAUGGGCGUCUAAUUUUAGCUCUUCUGUGGUGUGUAGGCAUCGUCUGUUAUGAGCUACUUGGCAGCUAAAGUUACAUGUCAGUCUGUUUUUCUAAACAUGCAGGUAUAAAAUUACUAUAAAAGCUACAGAAAGCUGCUGAGGGAUCAUUCUGAAGUCUGCCAAACUAUACUUGUGUCUGUCCCCAACAUGGUGUCAUACUAGCUGAUAGCAGGUUUAAUCUGUUGCUGGUGAGUUUAGACACUUUCACAAUUACGCUAAACUAGAUUUUGCUUAACAUAAGCAUAUAUUUGGUUCAUGGAUCAGUUUAGCAAUUUACCUGACCUCUGUACUUCUGUAUAUUAUUUCUGCCACCCACUGACACAAACACAAAUCAAGCAGUUGAGUAAAAGCACAGAUACCUUAAUACAAUAUUACUCCAGUAAACGUAUAAGUACUCGUUUUCAAUUUUUUUUAAUAAAAGUACAAAAGAACUAGAUUUUUAAAAAAUAUAUAUAUUUAAGUACUAAAAGUACUUAUAGAUGAAUCAUGUUUAUUAUUUAUUGUAGCUGGCACUAGUCAGAAUAGUCAUUAGUUAAUUAAUAAGAAAUAUUAGUGCAGAGUCUGCAGACCUUUAAUAUGUGUUAUCUGCAAAUAAGCAAACUUUUUUUAUUAUGAAAAUUAUUAUAUUAUUAAUAGUAUUUAUUUAAUUAAAAUGGAUUAUACAUAUUAUCAAAACAUUGAAACUGUACUAAAAUAUGGAUUUAAGUUAAUGAUAAUUCAAGUGAGUUACCGAAAACAAGUUAAAUCAUAUACCAUAUAGUAUUUUUAAAAUGAGAAAAAAUAAAAUUUGUGUAAAAUGUGGCAAAAUUAGUAUAUGGGGCAAAAUGUGAGGAGGAACAUUAUGCAAACAUUUUAGUUUUGAGAUGCAUGGGCAUUCAUUUGUGUUAUUUAACCAAAAAUUCUUAAGUUCUUGACUCAAAAAUGGCUGCAUUCGGAUCAGUCUGAUUCACAAAUUCAGUGUGAUCUGUGAAAUGUAGUAAUGUGAAAGCAAAAUAUUAUGCUUUGGAAUGUAGUGAAAUAAACGUUUCCCAGAAAAAGAAAAAAAAUACUCUUUCAACUACAGGUACUUGAAAAUUGUACUUAAGUACGGUAACAAGGUAAACAUACUUUGUUAUACUCCACCACUGUUUAUUGUUAUCCUAACUGGAUACUACUGGAAUGCCUCAGAGUUCAGGGUUAGGGCAAUUUCUCUUCUCAAUAUACACAACAGAGCCAAUUAUAAAGGUACAUCAGUCUACAAUCUCAGCUUGUAUCACAGCUAUACCUUUCAGAUAUUUUCAUUUCUAGCUUACCUUUAAAAAUUUGCCCUUUCAGCACUGCUAAUAGUGUUGGCUCAUUUAUGAUAAACUGCUAUGAUAAACUGUCAAUCCAGAAAUUACCAGAUGCAUGCUCACUCACAAUAAACUCUGCUAAUUUAUUUGCAAGCUUUAUGGAAAGGCCAACAAAUAACGUACAAGACACUUAUCCAAAGCUCAGCACAACGUUAAUUGCGUACUGGCUCUGGGUGUGUGUAAGUCUUUAAAGCAAAGCCAAGGUCGACGUGUGAAUCAAGCUCUUUAAACGAGCCAAAUUUCACCUGCCAUAAAGCCAAGUGCCUGCAGUCAGCCUUAGAGAAACAGAGGCAAUGCUGCUAAUAAUUAUUGAACAUGACAAUCCAUGCUGCUUAAAAAAAUCAAUGCCUUUCAGGCUAUAUGUAUUGCUGGAAAUCAAAAUAUGCCUGUGAGACUGUAUGUUUUCUCUUUUGAGAGGAAUCGAUCUUUGAUAUCCGCUUUACAAUACAGAACCUCAAAUUCUCUUUUCACCAAACAGCAAGAACUCUCCAAGUUCAGCCAAAUACAUUUGUCCUUGGUCCGCUCCGGGCAUGAGGGAGGUUUUUCCCUGGGACAUUUUCUAUUCAUAUUUCUCAAGCUAACGGCAAAAUACUUUUUGUAGCUUUGCUGCAUAAUUAAAUAUGGAUUUCUGGAGUCAGGCAUUGUUUUAGCAGCAUUUUCUAUGAAUACAGUACACUUUGGUGUCCCUUUCUUUUAAAGCAGAGGCACAUUGUUUUCUGAUGUGUGACAUAUUAGAUUCAUUAGACGAACUACGGUCUAACAGAAAAUUAAUGUAGUGUGAAAAAUAGCUAUCAAAUGCUGAUUUUGAUCUGUAUCUAACAAUUAAAAUCAUGAAUACUCUCACAUAAUCUAUGGGACUGAUAUUCCAUUCACAGUGGCUUUUUACAAUAAAGGAAACUCAUUCGGUAACAUGUCAGGGAUCCAUUUGGGACAGUUUUAUAAUACAAACCCUCCCAAAUAAAUCUCAAACAUUUUACUCUGAGUUUCCCUCAUUGCAAAGACCACAUUUUGAGGAACAGAUUUUAAAUAAAUGUAUAAAUAAAUGUUGUCAAUUUAUUUAAUGUUCAUUUUUUAUGGUUAAAACAAAACAAUAAACAAAUAAAUCUUCCUUAGGUUAACAAUUGAGACAACUGUCAAUUGACAAUUGCACCUCAUUCACGGAAAGUGCUGUUUACAACAGUAGCAUGUAUAUGAAUGUAUAUGUAUAUGAAGACAUGAAAGGUAUUAGGAAAAUAGGAAAUGUCUUGAGCUGUUAAUUGAUACUUUUGGAUUCCUCUUCAUUUUCAUCUUAAAAUUGGCAUCUACACAGAAAUCAAAACCGUUUCACAAAGAUCAGUGGUGUAUUUUUAACACAGUCAAGUAAAGUCAGUGACUGUUUGGUUUCCAACAAGAAAUCUCUCCCCACACACACACACACGCACACACGCGCACACACACACGCACACACACACACACAAUUAAUCAGCAUUACAUUUUUAAAUCACCUCACAAAUUAAACGGUACUUCACUCUGCCAGUUCUCUGAUUAACUGCAGAAAAAACGCCACAGCAGUGGCAGAGAUGCGUCCUCAAGCUAACAGCGAGCAAAUAACCGCCGUUAAUUGUUAUUUAAGUUGUGCUCUCCACAUGAUUGUAAGUUUUUCGAGGAGAAAGGUUAUUGACGAAAACAUUUCAAAGCAUAAAUUAAUUGAGCUGCGUUUGCCAUAUGCUAUGUUAGCACUUCUGCUCGCGGCCACGAUGAGGUUUUUCUGCUGGAGGACAAAUAAAUCACACCAAAGAGAGAAAAACAGCUGUGUAGGUCAAUCGAGAAGGUGAGAGAAAGAGAAAUUCAGGGUUUCUGAGGUCAAAAAGCGAUAAUACGAGAGGGGAAUUUUAAACAUUAAAUUAAAAGUUAGAAGUGCAUGAGAUCAUUUUUCCCAGCGACAUGCAUUUACCAUCUUUAACAUCAAGGGCAAAACGGAUCCCAAGCGCUCAUCUUAACUCUCAUUAUACACUAGAGUACAGUAUAUCUCCCUUCCUCACGUCACUUGGCGCAGUAUAAUGGUGCGGUCGCCCUGUGAAGAGAGUCGCUAGCAGCCGCAGGCCGAACGAAAACCCCCUGGUGACCAUUUACACACAUUAAUGACGCUCAGGUCAUCGAGCAACCAAUGGAUGUCUUGCCUAAUACGCUGCUGACAGGGGGAAAGCAGCUAUGACUAGCAGGAGCUUUUAGGUUGCUGUUAGACUUCAGCAUUUAUACGCAUUUAACUCUUUAAAAUAAAAGCGUCUGGUGGAACAUUGUGGUAAUGUGUUUUUAAUUGUGUCUAAAUCAUUAUUAUUUAUAUACUAUUACACUUUUUAUUAAAAUUUUGAAUUAGCUUUUAUUUUUUAUAUUCUCAGUUUCCACUUUAAUUAGUUAACUUUAGUUAGUAAUAGGGCUGCAUGAUUUAUCGCACGAUACAAAAAAUAACAUUGAAUCACGUACUAAGAAUCACAUUUAUUGCUUAAACGUGAUUAUUAGUGCGAUUAUUUUUUUAUGUGCAGCUUGUCAAUGAAGUAAGGCUCCAAAUGCUAAUCCAUCUGAAAGCACUGCGAGUUUGAGUCACUUAUAAUGUACAUUUAAAAAAGCAACGCGCGUCAAACAUCUUUCCAGACAUGAGAAGCAUUUAUUAACAUCUUGUCUAACAAAAGACAACAUUUAAUAACAUGUUUUUACUCCAAACUCACUUCAUAACGACAGUUGAGCAUCCUUCUGUGAGAUGAUGUGGUUUCUUACACAGAAUAAAGCAGUCGUGUGUUUAUUAGUCAUGUUUAAUCAAAGCGUUUCAAGCUUCUGCUUAUUCAGCUACAGUGAUAUGAAGCAUGUUAUCUUCUGCGGCAGGGCAUAUUAAGAGUUUCUGUGCAAGAGCACCCUCUGGCUUUCAGAUGGAGAAGCAUUUACUACUGAUCACAGAGCCGUACAGCUCUGACAAGCUGCGCAUAAAAUAAUCACUAAUUAUAAUAAUCAAUAAUCAGCCUUUGCCAAAUCGCCUGCGGUUUAAUCGCGAUAAAUUGUGCAGCCCUAGUUAGUAAAAAAUAGUAGUGAAAAAAUACUUCUAAAUCAUGUAUUAACCCUAGUUAAUGUUAUACAAUUAACAGCUGUAUGUUAAUAACUAACAUUAAUAGUUUUUUUUUUUUUUUUUUUUUGUAAUAUUUCUAUUUAGCUUUAUUUUUUUAUUUUUUUUUAUUUUUACUAAAUUUAGUACUCCACUUAUUUUAUUUCAUUUAGGUGCCAAUGUAACAUUUUUAAUUUACAUUUUCUCUCUAAUAUUUGUAGUUAUAUUUUGUUUCAUUUAUAUUUUUAUCUAUAUUUCAAUUAGCAAAAAAUAAAUAAAUAAAUAAAUACAAAUAUUUUUAAUAGUAUUAGUGAACAAAAACAACACUGGUCUAAAUAUUUUCUAGGCCCACUGUAUACAUUUAGACCACAUUAGUGUAGCCGUUGCUACUAAAAUGGAAGCGCCACUCUCUCGUUAGACGCAAAACUCCCUAACGCGCUGGUCUAAUCACAGCAGACUACAGAGGACGACACACUAAUUAAAUACAGCUAAUUGAGUCUCUGCGGACCGGCCAAACGUGAUUAGUUACUGUUUACCCGCUCAAGUUAGCAGGGUUUGUUUAACUGACAAUGAGCGAAGCCAGAGGAGGCCGAUGUGGCGCACACACGCAGCUGGAAAUUAAAAGGCCGUGCAGCGUAAUUGAUUCUUUUGCUUAUCUGCAAGAAAUGCUGUGAGCGAGAUCCCAAGUAUUCUUUCUGUUGGCUGCGGAGCUCAAAAACACACAGAGCUGCAGACAGUUAAUGGAUUUUGGUUGGGAAUCGAUCAGCAACAUUGCCCGACUGAUGCACGUAUUAGAUUGAGCUUUGCUUCAGCGUCGUCGGCGCUGCCGGCAGAUUUUUUUUUUUUUCCCUGGAUGAGGUUAUUCGCUGUGGAAAAUCCCCCACGGCCAUAAUAAGAUAUAUUUGUUGGACGUUUUGAGCGAAGGCAAUCUCCUUAGAGCCGCUGUCACAGGUCAGCUGGUGUAAAGACGCAUUGUGCUGCGGUCAUCCCUCCCACCGCAAAAGCGCAGAUUACCAACAGAGACAAAUAGCAGGAAACCCUUCAAGUAUGACUGCCAUCCCAGCCGUAUUUUCCGCUUCCUUUGGCGCUUUUGUGCUGAGCGACGGGCCGAGGCGGGUUAGGCUGGGCUUGUGUUUGCUUCACUUCGCUCUAGAUAAGUUUGCACUGUUUUUUUCAGCCUGCUACAAAAGAGCAGAGAAACGCUUUCUCUCCUGGACUGUGACGGCAGUCAAUGUUGGUGGAUUCGUCCUGAAUUCCAGCUGAACCCCAGAGACGUGGCUACGGCAUAUUGAUACAGGAUUUGCUAGCUGUAAAGGAAGCAGCGGUGAUGAACUUGAAGCUGAACGCUGGCCGUCGAUACAGUAGAUCUGCCCACGGAAGUGCUACUCAUGGACUCGCUGAUUGUGUGGAAGCCCUUGAGUGUAAACGCUUAUUGAUCGUCUGGACUGCCAAACUGAUAAAGGCUCAUCAGCUCUGAAGUGUGACUGCUGAGAGACCGCUCAGAAAACGAUCACACGCAUGAAACCACACAAACAAAUCCUCAGAUCACGACACGGCUGUUGAGACGAAAGAUGGACGAGAGAGUUCACAAUGUUUCUCAAUGUGUCCUGAAAUUUCAGAUCAGUUUAGUGUGUUCCUGAGAUGAACCACACAAUCUUUCCUUAAAAGUAGCUUCAUUAACUACUUUUAUUAAACACUUAAUAUUCAACAAUAUUAUUGAUUUGACUGCACUGACACUAUUGGAUGAGAACUGAACUGAGCUGGACAAUGACAUCACUGUUUUCUGCAGAACUGCUUAGAGAUGAAAAGAACUAAUUUAAUAAUUGAUUAUCUUUACAACGGAACUGAAUCAACACUGACCUUACUUCAGCUAAACAAUGGCACAAUUUUUUUUAGAGCUGCUGUACAACCAACAUGAACUCUGUUUGCAUCACUGAAUAUUAUCUGUAUUGUAUAAAGCGCUAUAUAAUUACAAGUGACUUGAUUAACCUUAUAGUAUAAAGCUUAUACUCUAUUAUAUUUGAUCAACUAUAUCACACUGUAAAAAAUUAAAAAAAAAUAAAAAAUAAUAAUAAUAAUAAUUUUGAAAAAUUGUGGAAACUGACAAUUACAUACUGGCUCAAUAAAUGACUUCCAAAUAAUUAACCCUAUUCAAAAAGAUGCAUUGUACCAAUCAUAGCUCAUGGUCUUGACUUAAAAUUAAAAAUGUGCGUAUAUUCACAGAACAUAUUUAAUCAGUCAAUCUAUCAACUCAAAGUGAAAAAUCUGUGUCAGCUGAACAAGUCCUACAUCCAAAAAAACUGUAUAUGCAUGCGCAAAUGCGGAUGUGUGGGAGACCAAAACAAAUAUCAUUCCCAAGAGAAUACAGAUAUUCAAUGUCACAAGUUUUCAAGACAUUAUGGUGAGUAUUGAGCACUGAAAUUAUUCUCCAAAGUUUUGCUUUAGGACCCAGUAUAAAGUUUAAAAGGCAUUUAGUAGAAUCACUAUGAAUUCAUGCAUUGAUUGGGUUCAUGAUUGUGUUUUUUCCCCGGGUACCACAUAAUUAUCUGAUGGUAGCCAAUAGUUUUAUUUUCCUUAUGUCAUAUAUAUAUAUAUAUAUAUAUAUAUAUAUAUAUAUAUAUAUAUAUAUAUAUAUACACAAAAUACUGUUUGAUCGACUUCUGAGAUGUAAUUUGUGUGAUAUGUGCACCAUGCGGCCACUGAACAGAGUAUCGUUAGAUUGCAGUUGACAUCAGCCCUUUUUCAGGGCUUAUUGACUUUUAAUAUCGACAAUGUCAAGCUUGUGAUUUUCUUAUUCAUCCAUUCAUUCAUUUUUUUUUUUUAAUUGCUUAUGUCAGUAAGUUUAAGCAGUCCUGAAAAACUGGAUAUAUUUCCAUACCAUGAAAUAAGCGAUAAAGCAAAAUCUGCAUAGACUGAAACAGGUCUCAUCCAUAUAAUUAAGUAACUUCUGUUCUGUCACUUGCCAGAUGUGAUGCAGGGGACUUUAUAAAUGAUCAACCUGAUCAAAACUGCUGAAGAACCUGUUGCACACAAUCUACUACAUGUCUUCUCUUGUCUGUAAUAUAUUAGCAAGUAAAUGGCCUUUAAGUAUAAUUGUAAAAACUUUCACCUUUAGGUCGUGGUUCACGUGUCUUUCUGCUAUGCAAUCUGUACUGAUUUUUAUAAAGUAAACUUAAGAAUCACUUUAAUACUGUUAGCAAUAUUUCAAGAUAACUUGAUAAGUUGAUUCAGUCCACUUACUGGACUGAGGCUUCUUAGGUUUACUUGGGUAUCCAUAUAUCAUUCUUUUUUUUUUUUUUUUUUUUUAGAAAAAUCAUAUUUAAAUGUGAGUAUCAAAUAUGAUGCAUCAGGCUUUUGAAGAGGAACGUUUAUUUGUUCAUCGCUCAAUCAUCAUUGUAUUGCAUUGCAUCAUUUUAAAACUUUGAUCAUAAAACUAAGCAUUUAAAUAUCAUCUUACUAAGACAUAUUAUUGGCAGAUAUAGAGUGACAACUGAUAUUUAUGUGCAUUUAAUGUAAGUAUUCUGCUAUACUGUUAUAAAGAUCUCAUUGAUUUACAUUACAAGCAUCUGAAUUUCAUCUUACUUUUGGUCCAUAUAAAUAUCAGCAUCUACAUCAAACUGCAUGUUUUUGCUCAGUUUGGGCCUCUGAAUAAAAUGUAGCUGUUUCUUUUAUUUUACUUUUUUUUUUUUUUUUUU